Molecule: ribosomal RNA, 254 nt
Filed under: uncultured bacterium
Lineage: Bacteria
Description: partial 16S ribosomal RNA
Rfam family: Bacterial small subunit ribosomal RNA
Source: RNAcentral
UACGGGGGGAGCAAGCGUUGUUCGGAUUUACUGGGCGUAAAGGGCGCGUAGGCGGCCACCGCAAGUCGACUGUGAAAUCUCCGGGCUUAACCCGGAAAGGUCAGCCGAUACUGCGGGGCUAGAGUGCAGAAGGGGCAACUGGAAUUCUCGGUGUAGCGGUGAAAUGCGUAGAUAUCUGGAGGAACACCGGUGGCGAAGGCGGCAUCCUGGGACAACACUGACACUGAGGAGCGAAAGCCAGGGGAGCAAACGGG